GAUCCUGGCUCAGGACGAACGCUGGCGGCGCGCCUAACACAUGCAAGUCGAACGAGGAGAUGAAGAGCUUUGCUCUUCAAAUCGAGUGGCGAACGGGUGAGUAACGCGUGAGGAACCUGCCUCAAAGAGGGGGACAACAGUUGGAAACGACUGCUAAUACCGCAUAAGCCCACAGCUCGGCAUCGAGCAGAGGGAAAAGGAGUGAUCCGCUUUGAGAUGGCCUCGCGUCCGA
This 232-nucleotide ribosomal RNA is filed under the name uncultured bacterium. RNAcentral describes it as "partial 16S ribosomal RNA". It matches the Rfam family "Bacterial small subunit ribosomal RNA", at positions 15 to 240 of the family's 1533-position model. The record is from RNAcentral.